GACGAACGCUGGCGGCGUGCUUAAUACAUGCAAGUCAACUUGACUUUAGAUAGCAAUAUCGAAAAGUAGGGUGGCGCACGGGUGCGUAACGCGUAGGUAAUCUGCCCUGAGGUCUGACAUAACCCGUCGAAAGGCGGGCUAACAUCAGAUGAUAUAUAGUCACGACAUCGUGGAAAUAUCAAAUCUUCGGAGCCUUGGGAUGAGCCUGCGUCUGAUUAGGUAGUUGGCGGAGUAAUAGCCCACCAAGCCUACGAUCAGUAGCUGGUCUGAGAGGAUGAUCAGCCACACUGGAACUGAGACACGGUCCAGACUCCUACGGGAGGCAGCAGUAAGGAAUAUUGCUCAAUGGGGGAAACCCUGAAGCAGCAACGCCGCGUGAAGGAUGAAAUACUUUUGUAUGUAAACUUCUGUAAGAUGGGAAAAAUAUUCUCCUCGGGAGAAUUGAUUGUACCAUCAGAGUAAGCCCCGGCUAACUACGUGCCAGCACG
Molecule: ribosomal RNA, 488 nt
Filed under: uncultured bacterium
Lineage: Bacteria
Description: bacterial SSU rRNA
Rfam family: Bacterial small subunit ribosomal RNA
Source: RNAcentral